Molecule: ribosomal RNA, 464 nt
Filed under: uncultured bacterium
Lineage: Bacteria
Description: partial 16S ribosomal RNA
Rfam family: Bacterial small subunit ribosomal RNA
Source: RNAcentral
CUACGGGUUGCUCCAGUGGGGAAUAUUGCACAAUGGGCGCAAGCCUGAUGCAGCCAUGCCGCGUGUAUGAAGAAGGCCUUCGGGUUGUAAAGUACUUUCAGCGGGGAGGGAGGGAGUAAAGUUAAUACCUUUGCUCAUUGACGUUACCCGCAGAAGAAGCACCGGCUAACUCCGUGCCAGCAGCCGCGGUAAUACGGAGGGUGCAAGCGUUAAUCGGAAUUACUGGGCGUAAAGCGCACGCAGGCGGUUUGUUAAGUCAGAUGUGAAAUCCCCGGGCUCAACCUGGGAACUGCAUCUGAUACUGGCAAGCUUGAGUCUCGGAGAGGGGGGUAGAAUUCCAGGUGUAGCGGUGAAAUGCGUAGAGAUCUGGAGGAAUACCGGUGGCGAAGGCGGCCCCCUGGACGAAGACUGACGCUCAGGUGCGAAAGCGUGGGGAGCAAACAGGAUUAGAUACCCCAGUAGUC